CCUCUACUUUAACAUGGAAGUACUUGCUGGAUGCUUGAAAAAGUAAGUGCUUCCAUGUUUUAGUUGUGG
MicroRNA precursor from Pelodiscus sinensis (Chinese soft-shelled turtle), 69 nucleotides. NCBI's taxonomy places the organism in Eukaryota, Metazoa, Chordata, Testudines, Trionychidae. The record is from Ensembl.